UGAGGCACACCCCAUCAUUCCUCUGAGUCACUUGUUUAUAACGUCAGGCCUGGGGGGCACGGGAGAAAUGACAGCUGGCUGGGCUAGGGCUGAGUCACCUCCCUUUUGUGAUCUCAGCAAUAUCACUCUGUCCCUUUUUCUUUUUCUUCUUUUGAGACAGAACCUCAUUCUGUUGCCCAGGCUGGAGUGCAAUGGCACGAUCUUGGCUCACUGCAACCUCCACCUCCCGGGUUCAAAUGAUCCUCCUGCCUCAGUCUCCCGGUAGCUGGGAUUACAGGUGCCUGCCAUCAUGUCCAGCUAAUUUUUUUUUCUUUAGUAGAGAUGGGGUUUUACUGUGUUGGCCAGGCUGCUCUCAAACUUCUGAUCUCAGGUGAUCCGCCUGCCUCGGCCUCCCAAAGUGCUGGGAUUACAGGCGUGAGCCACCGCGCCCGGCCUCUGUCCCUCUUCAAUGGUGCAACUGACCAUCACUCACUCACCCCACCAGCAGGUCCCAAAGGGACACAGCACCUGGGCAGGCUCUGGAGGUGAUCAGUCCCUGUUGCUGAAAAGACAAGGGCUCACUCAGACAAGGCAGGUGGUGGGCUUUCAGCCCAGUCCGGGACUGCAGGGCAUUGUGGCAAGCACAGCCACUGAGGAGACUCGGCUUGAGGGCUGGGCACCUUGGCCAAGUCACAGAGCGGGCAUGGGGCGGUGCCAGGAUCUGAAACAGAUCUGCCCUCCUCCAAAGACUGUGGCAACCCUUCCCUACCUUGCCACUUCCCAAGAAUUAACAAAAAUGUCAUUAAUCGUAGUCUCAUUUCAAAGACCAGGACAGAAAAUACUGGCCAGUUAACUUAGAUUUAUCAAAUGACUUGAUGAAAUAUUUUUAGAUGGUGAUGGAUCCCAUAGCUGUCACUCUACCAAGCAUUCCAGUAGAACAUGUGUAUAUGGCUCAUUCAUUCAUCAUCAAGCACCAGCUGUGCACUGCUUUAAAUGCUGAAGAGUCAGCAAUCAGGCGUCACGGGACUUACAUUUGCCAGGGGGUCGGGGCGAGGGUGGUGGGGGAGACAGAAAUACAUCAAUAGUUAUUCAGGGCAUUGGACGAUGCUCAUGGCUGUGCAGACAAGGGGAACAGGGAAGGCGCAUGGGAAGUGGCAGGAGGAGGUGGGAACGAUUUUAAACGGAGCAGUCAGGAUGGACUCACCAAGAGGAUCACAUUGAGUUGAGUCAGAGGAUUCCCGGUGGGGGCGCAGCUGGAGCCAAGUUCCUGAGGCAAGAGAGUGCCUGGCAUGUUCCUGGAACAGCUUGGAGAGCGACCGGGCUGGAGCAGUGAAUGAGGAGGCAAGUAGGAGGCAAGGGGAGAGCUUCCCCAGGAAAACAGACAUGCCACUGAGCUCAACCCAUCGUAUGUGCCGUCCCAAACUUCAGCUCAGAUCAGGAAGCAGGGACACGCAGCAUCCAUGUUUUGACGAAGAUGGCUGAUGGAAAGCGGUGUCGGAACUUCUGGAGUCGGCUUCCCACUGUCCACGUGCAAGCGGAGGGAUCUGUCCCUGCUGGCGCUGGUUUGGCCACGACCUGGGCUAUGCAGCCUGUGACCCUGACUGCAGCACUCCUGAAGGUUCUGUCUGAUGCCACAGCAGCCAGUGAGGCUUCCAUGGUCUGCUGCUAAGAGGACUGUGCGAUGUUGAAAUUCAUUUCAGGAGUAUCCUGGCAGCAGGUGCGCACGGCGGAGCCAACGCAGUCGAGAGCAUCUCCGAUGGCCUGCUCGCCUGCUCACUGACUUCUGGGUUACAGGAGGCCUGUGAUGCAAGGAGUCGAGAUGCUGCAGAUGCUCUUACGUGACAAAGGGACCCAAAGACGGGAGCCCCGAAUGCUGGAGUGGACCCAUCCCCCGUGUCUGCUGAGAGGGCUGAGAGGACACCUCGCCCAUCAUUGAGGACCUUGUUGGUGAGCCUGCCACAUUUCUGCUGCUCCCUCCAGCCACAGAUUUCAUGCCUUUUUCAUUUUCAUGGAACCAAAUUCAACCCUGCUUCUGAUCCAGGAUCUCAUUUUGUAGCAAGAGAAGUGAGGCAAGCCUUCCAGUGAAUGAUGGCAGAUAAAACACAUGCUUUUUUGAGCUUCCUUUUGAAAGCUUACUAUAACUGAAGUAGAGGGUUAAGAGAAAUAAAAUAUGUAAACUCCCAGGAACAUGGUAUCAGCAUACUCUGCAGGGACAGAGCAGCACAGCCGCAGACUCUGGAAAGCAGGAGAGGUGUGAUAAGCAGCGUGGCAGUCCUGAUUCUGCAUCUGCGAUGAGAAGGCCAGAAUCCACAGAGAAGGCCCAGAAUUGGCAGCACCAGGUACCUUUAAACAUACAGGAGAAUCAACCACCACCUGGUAGAAGCCAGCGGUUUCAUUUCCAAAGAAGACAAACUGGAGGGCUCUUGACUAAGACUCUCAGCAGAGGAAACGGCAGUGCUGCAGUGUGAGCACUGGGCGAUGAAGAGCAACUCCAUAUUCUAAAUGGAAAACCCUACUCCCACUCAGCUCCCAGAAAGCUGACAGGCCAGCUAUGACCUCCAAACAGGGAACUAAAAUUGGGGGAUCUGACAGCCCAAGAGAAAAAAAAGAUAUUAAUGAGCCUGGUCAGAUCAUGGACAGUGAAGCCCACUAAUUAACAAGGCCCUUCACACGUGCUGAGUUUCCAAUACGCUUUUUGAUGGAAAUGGUUUGGUUGUGUCCCCACCCAAAUCUCAUCUUGAACUGUGGCUCCCACAAUUCCCACAUGUGAUGAGAGGGGCCCAGCGGGAGGUAACCAAAUCAUGGGGGCGGGCUUCCGCCUUGCUGUUCUCAUGAUAGUGAGUAAGUCUCACAAGACCUGAUGGUUUUGUAGAGGAGUUUCCCUGCACAAGCUCUUUGCCUGCGCCAUCCAUGGAAGACAUGCCGUCACCCCUCCUUGCUUUCCACCACAAGGUGAGGCCUCCCCAGCCAUGUGGAACUGUGAGUCCAAUAAACCUCUUUCCUUUCUGAGUUACCCAGUCUCAGGUAUAGCUUUAUCAGCAGGAUGAAAACGGACUCAUACAGCGAUCUACUUUUUUAAAGGCUUGAAAAUACGACUUCUGGCCUGGACAAAAUGCUGUGAGCUUGUUUCUACCUGCUCCUUCCUGUCAAGUACAGCUAUAAACUAUGAACACAAUGCAAGAGGCAAUCGGAGGACAACUCUGAAAGCUGGCAAGGGAAUUAAUUAUGCAUUAGUUCAGGACCCCAAAAAUAAAGGAACAACUCAGUGUCAGGAUAUCUUAUGUACCCCUACUCAAUGGAAGAAGAGGACCCAGGCCAGGCGUUUCCUGACCCCCAACCUGUCAACAGAAGGCAGCCAAAGCAGGCUCAGUGCUCUCACAAUUUGGAGAGGAGUACCUCUGACUCCCCAGGAGCCCGGCAGCACGGGAGGGGACAUUACUCAGGUGCCCAACCAACAAUCAGCAGGUGGGGAUGCCUUCUCCUUUCACACCGGACCUGAAACUCACCUCCCUGCCAAGAGGCGCUGGGCAGCCUGAUCUGGGAACAUCCCUUGGGCCCUCUCAGGCAGUACCAGCAGGAGCUCCGGCAGCACCAAAGAAACCAGGUACGAAAAGAACACCACAAAGGCUCUGAAAAUCAAACUGUCGUUGGAACCUCAGCCCUCAGACCAGGAACUGCAUGGUGAAUGUGAACCAGGUGACUGAGCGAGCCACCAAGGAACUCAGGGGGCCCAGAGUCUCCUGACAUGACAGCCAGAGUAUCUGGGGUGCAACUGAGACUCACCUGUCACACCAACAACGAGGAACAUCACAACUUGAGUGUGAAAAGUAUCAACUGGAGCCACCGCGGGGACUAACCAGUUGUUAGAAUUAUCUGGCGAGGAUUUUAAAGAGGCCACCAUAAUAAUGCUUUAACAAUUGCACAUUUUAUUGGAACUAAUAAAAAAAUUAAAAAUAUCAGCAAAGAAGAAGUUAUAUAGAAGGACCAAACGAAAAUUAUAGAACUGAAAAACAUAACCACAAGAAUAAAAGCCUACUGGGUAGCCUCAGGAGGAGAGGGGAGAUGACAGAAGAUAAAAUCAGGGCUUGAUUGAGGACAGAGCGAUAGAAUUUACCCAGUCUGAACAACAAAGAGAUAAUAUAGUGGGAACAAAUUGUGUGUGUGUGUGUGUGUGUGUGUGUGUGUGUAUGAGAGAGAGUGUGUGUGUGUCAGUCUCAGGGACCUAUAAGACAAUAACAAAAAAUCCACAUUUGUAUCACUGCAUAUCAUUGCAGUCUCAGAAGGAGAAGAGGAAGAAUGAGGCUGAGAGAAUAACUAAAGUAAUGCCCGAAGACUCCCAAAAUUUGGUGAAGACACAAACCAGCACAUUCAAGAAGCUGAGAAAACCCCAAACAAAAUAAACCCAAAGAAAUCCAUGUCGAGACACAUCAUAAUUAAACUUUUGCAAAUUAAAGACAAAAAGAAAUCUCAAAAGCAGCCACAGAGAAACAGCACAUCACCUGUAGCUGAAUGCCAAUUCAAAUGGCAGUGGAUUUUCAUCUGAAACUAUGGAGGCCGUUUGGGAGGCUGAAGCACGCGGAUCACUUGAGGUCAGGAGUUCAAGACCAUCGUGGCCAACAUGGUGAAACCCUGUCUCUACUAAAAAUACAAAAAUUAGCCAGGUGUGGUGGUGUGCACCUGUAGUCCCAGCUACUUGGGAGGCAGAGGAAGGAGAAUCGCUUAAACCCAGGAGGUGGAGGUUAUGGUGAGCCAAGAUCAUGCCAGUGUACGCCAGCCUGGACUCCAGCACUCACUGGACACAGUGAGACUCCAUCUCUAAAAAAAGCAAAACUAUGGAGGCCAGAAGGAAGUGAUACAACAUAUUUCAAGUGCUGAUGGAACCAUCAGCUGUGAAUUUUAUAUCCAAUUAAACUGUCUGUCAGGAAUGAAGGAGAAGUAAUCCCAGGAAAUGCCCACAAAAAGCUUACAGGGACUAAUACAUGAGUUCAGCAACAUUGGAGGCUGUAAGAUCAACACACAAACGUUAAUUGCAUUUCUGUUUACUAACAAGGAACAUGUAGAAACUGAAAUUUAAAACGUAAUGCCAUGCACCGUCACUCAAAAGAAAAUGACCUAUUUAGGCAAAACACACACAGGCUGUGUAUGUCAAAAACUGCAGAACGCUGAUUAAAGAGGUAAUGGAAGAGCUAAAUAAAUGGAGAGACAGAGUGUGUUCAUGGAUUGGGAGACUUGACAUCGUAAAGAUGUCACUUCUCCCCAAAUGGAACUAGAGGUUUUAUUCAAUGCCUAUCAAAAUUCCAGCAACGUUUUUAAUAGAUUUAGACAAGUUUAUCCUAAAAUUUAUAUGGAAAGUUACAGACCCUCGAAUAGUUAGAAUGAUCUUGACAAAGGAGAAUGGAGUGAGAGGAAUCACUCUCCUGUUACUGUCUUCAUAUACAGCUCCAGUAGUCGAGAUCAUAUGGUGUUGGCAGAGGGAUAAACAUACAGAUCAAUAGACCCAAACAGAGAACGCAGAAAUACAUUCAAAUAGGCUCAACCAAUCUUUGACAAAGAUGCAAAAGCAAUUCAAUGGAGGAAGGAUAGACUUUUCAACAAAUAGAGCUGGAGAAAUUAGGCAUCCAUAGGGGGAAAAAAAUAACCUCAAUCUAAUCUCACACCUUAUGCAAAAAUUAACUCAAAAUAGAUUGUGGAUUUAACAUGUAAAACAUCUAAAACAACCUUGAGCCAGGUGUGGUGGCUCGUGCCUGCAGUCCCAGACACUUGGGAGGCUGAGAUAGGAGGAGGAUUGCUUGUCCCCAGGAGUUCUGGGCUGUAGUGUGCAGUGCUGAUAGGGUGUCCACACUAAGUUCGGCAUCAAUAUGGUGACCUCCAAGUUGCCUAAUGAGAAGUAAACCAACCCAGGUUGCAAAUGGAGCAGGUCAAAACUCCCAUGCUGAUCAGUAGUAGGAUUGUGAACAGCCUGUGAAUAGCCACUAUCCUCCAGCCUGGGCAAAACAGCAAGACUCUUGUCUCAAAAAAAAAUCCUGAAAAAGAAGAAAGCUAAUGGUCUCCCACUUCCUGAAUUCAAAACUUACUACAAAGCUACAGUAAUCAAAACAGUGUGGCACUGGCAUAAAGGUAGAUAUAUAGACAGUGAUAGCUAAUUUUUUUUUUUUUUUUGAGACGGAGUUUCGCUCUUGUUACCCAGGCUGGAGUGCAAUGGCGCGAUCUCGGCUCACUGCAACCUCUGCCUCCUGGGUUCAGGCAAUUCUCCUGCUUCAGCCUCCUGAGCAGCUGGGAUUAUGGGCACGCGCCACCACGCCCAGCUAAUUUUUGUAUUUUUAGUAGAGACGGGGUUUCACCAUGUUGACCAGGAUGGUCUCGAUCUCUUGACCUCAUGAUCCACCCACCUCGGCCUCCCAAAGUGCUGGGAUUACAGGUGUGAGCCACCGCGCCCAGCGAUAGUUGAUUUUAAAUGUCAGUUUGGCUGGGCUAAUGGAUGUCCAGCUAUCUGAUAGAACAUUAUUUCCAGUGUGUCUGUGAGGGUGUCUCUGGAACAGAUGAGCAUUUCAAUCAGUUGUGCAUUGUUGGUGGGAAUGUAAAAUGCUAGAGCUGCUGUGGAAAACAGUAUGGUAGUUCCUCAAAAAAUUAAUAAUUAAAUUACCAUAUGAUCUAGCAAUUCUGCAUUUGAGUAUAUACCCCCAAAAAUUGAAAGCAGGGUCUUGAAGAGAUAUUGAUACACCCAUGUUCAUAGCAGCAUUAUUUGCAAUUCCCAAAAGAUAGAAGCAACCCAAGUGUCCAUUGAUGAAUUAAUUAAUAAGCUAACUGUGGCAUAUACAUAAAAUAGACUAUUAGCCUGAAAGAGGAAGGAAAUUCUGACACAUGCUGCAACAUGGAUGGAGUGUGAGGAGGUGAUGCUGAAUGAAAUGAGCCAGUCAAAAAAGACAAAGAUUGUAUUAUUCCACCUACAUGUUAAAUGUGCAGAGACAGAAAGUAGAAUGGCGAUUACUAAGAGCUGGGGGCGAGAGAGACCAGGGAGCUCCUGUUCAGUAGAUACAGAGUUUCAGUUUGGAAUGAUCAGAAGAGUUCUGUGGAUGGAUGUCGUGAUGGCUGCACAGGGUGGGAAUGUACUUAGUGCCACUGAACUGUACAUUUAAACAUGGUUAAGAAAGUAAAUUUUACGUUAUGUUUAUUUUACCAUAAUAUAUAUUUUUUGAGAUGGACUCUCACUCUGUCACCCGGGCUGGAGUGCAGUGGCGUGAUCUCAGCUCACUGCAACCUCCACCUCCCGGGUUCAAGUGAUUCAUCUGCUUCAGCCUCCCAAGUAGCUGAGACUACAGGCACGCGCCACCACGCUCAGCUAAUUUUUGUAUUUUUAAUAGAGACAGGGUUUCACCAUGUUGGCCAGGCUGGUGUCGAUCUCCUGAUCUUGUGAUCCACCUGCCUUGGCCUCCCAAAGUGCUGGGAUUACAGGCGUGAGUCACCGCUCCUGGCCUCCUAAUUUUUUUAAAAAGAACACAGAGACCCGUGGCAAUCUCAGUGCUGGACUUGACUCAGAGAAUAAGAAAUUGAGCAUCUUAUAAAAAGAUUUAAAACCAAAGUAUAAAACUUCUAGGAAAAAAACCCAGGAGAAUAUUUUAGCAUUUAGGGCUAGGAAUAAGCUUUUACACUUAACACCAAAAACAUGAUAUAUAAAAGGAAAAUGUGAUCAUCCAGAUCUUACCAAAAUAAAAACCUUUUGCUCAGCAAAACCCCAUGUGAAGAGAAUAAAAAGACGAGCCACAGAUUGGGAAAAAUAUUUGCAAUCUGUAGACACAAAGAAUUCUCAAAAUUCUAAAACAUACAAACAAUUGAAUAAGAAAACGGGCAAAAGGCAGGAACCAAUGUUCCACCAAAAAGGUGCCCAGAUGGGGAAUGAUUUAAUGAAAGGGUGUUCAGCAUCAUUAGUCAUCAGGGAAUUACAAAUGAAAAGCAAGUGACAGAUCACCACACUUCUCUCAGUUGCUAAGAUUUAAAACAAUGACGGCACCAAAAUACUUGUGAGAAUGCAGAGAACCUGGAUCACUCACAUUGCUACUGGGAGGUAAAAUAGUGCCGUCACUGAAGAAGACACGUUGGCAGCUUCUCAAAAAACCCAACAUGCAUCUACACCAUAGGGCGUAGCAACUGCCCUCUCGGGCACGUUUCCCACAAGAGUGGAAACUUCUGUUCACGCAGAACCCAAACACAAGUGCUCAUAGCGGUUACAUUUGUAAGACUGAAAAAGUAGAAGCAGCCCUGCUCUGGGGAGGGAUAACAUGAGGAGAAAUGCCAGAUGUAGGUAACGGGGGGAUGGAGGCAGCAAACCACACUGCCAUGUAUGUACCUAUGCAACAAUCCUGCAUGUUCUGCACAGGUACCCCAGAACCUAGAGUGCAGUUAAAAAAUAAUUAUAUAUAUAUAAACCAUUUGCCCACAGCAGUUGAGCAGGGCUGUUUCUUUAUGUAUAUUAUAUAUAUGAUAAUGUAUAUUAGACAUAAACAGCCCUGCUCCAAUAUAUAUUAUUCCUAAAGAAACAGCCCUGCUCAACUUCCAUGGGCAAAUGGUUGAACCAGCCAGUACACACCAGCUAUGGAACACCACCCAGCAGAAACAAAACCAAAAACGAAUGAACCCUUGGUACACGCAACGACUCGGAUCAAUCUUCAGGGAAUCAGACUGAGCGAGCACAAAGACUGGCCCUUACCAGCCAUGUUUCUAUGAACAUUCUGCUAUGACCACCUUGGUCAUCUCUAAGAAGACUGAGGCUUUCUACAGCUGCCUUCUGAGCCCUCACCAGAAUAGCGUUCACAGUCCGUUCAUGCCAACAUAGGGAUCUUUUCCUAGCCUGCUCCUCCAAACUCCGCUCUGCCCAGCUCCAAAAAGCUGCUUUCACUUUUUUUUUUUUUUAAGAUGAAGUGUUGCUCUGUCGCCAGACUGGAGUGCAGUGGUGCAAUCUUGGCUCACUGCAACCUCUGCCUCCCAGUUCAAGGGAUUCCCCUGCCUCAGCCUCCUGAGUAGCUGAGACAGACAUACACCACCAUGCCCAGCUAAUUUUUUGUAUUUUAGUAGAGACAGGGUUUCACCAUGUUUACAAGGAUGGUCUCGGUCUCCGGACCUCAUGAACCGCCUGCCUCAGCCUCCCAAAGUGCUGGGAUUACAGGCCUGAGCCACCGCGCCCAGCUGCUGCUUUCACAGUUUAAAAUGUUUGUUAUAGGAACAUUCCCACUUGGUACCAAUUUCUGUCUUAGUCUGUUCAGGCUGCUGUAACAAAAUACCUUUAACUGGGUAAUUUAUAAACAAUAGAAAUGUAUUGCUCACCAUUCUGAAAGCUGAGAGUCCAAGGUCAAGGCACCAGGAGCUUUGGGGUCUGGUGACAGCUCUGUCGUCUUCACAGAUGGCACCUUCUAUUGCCUGCUUAUGGCAGAAGGAGCCAGCUCAGUGUCCUUGCAUGGUGAAAGGCCUAGGUAGCUCAGUUCAACCUCUUCUCUAAGGGCCGGUAAUCCCAUUCAUGAGGCAGAGCUUCCCGACUUACUCACUUCCCAGAAAACCCCACCUCUUCAUACUGCGGCACUGUGUUUUAGGUUCCAAGAGGUGAAUCUGGGGGUCAGUGGGGGGACAGCAGCAUCCAGACAGUAGCACCAUCUUGACCUCAUGACCCGUGGCUAAGCAGGAUGGAAUAUCUUCCUGUCUUGCCUUCCUUGAUGUGUAUAUUAAUAUGUCAGGGUUCUGCAGAGAAAUAAUCAAUAAAAUAAAGACAUAUAAGAGGGGUGUGUCAUGGGCAUUGGCUCAUGUCAUUAUGGAGGCCAAGGAGUUCCACAGUCUGUCCUCUGCAGGUUGGAGACCCAGGAAAGCUGCCGACGUCAUUCAGUUUGAAUCUGAAGGCCUGAGAUCAAGAGGACGUAAUGAUGUAACUGUCAGUGCAAGGCCAAAUGCGGGGGAACCUGGAGUUCUGACGUAUGGGCGCAGGAGGCAAGGCAUGCCCCGGCUCCAGAAGAGUGAACUCACCUCUCCCCUGCCUGUUUGUCCCAUCCAGGCCCUCAACAGACUGGAAGGUGCCCACUCACAUUGGAUGAGGGUGGAUCAUCCUCAGUUGACUGACUCAAAUGCUCAUCUCGUCCCAAAACACCCUCGUAGAAGCACCCAGAGAUCAUGCUUUUCCAGCUCUCUGGGUGUCCUUGCACUCAGUUACCAGUACACCUGAAACUAACCAUCACACUGGGAAAGAUGUGAAGCCAAAGCCCUACCUGCCUAAGCCCCAAUUCUGGGACUCACCUGUCCUGCGCCACUAGGGCACAGACAUGACGGAUCUGCCACUUAGACACGCCCACAUGAGACUUUGAUUCAGGAGGGUUCUGUGUCCACACCCCCCGGAAGUAAGGCAUGAUGGCAGAACUUGCUUUGGAUGAUGACACAGAAAGCAAUACACCACUUCUGCGUGGCAGCACUGCAGAGCCAAGGCGCGAUUCUCCACCCCACCUUUUCCCUGGCUGUGGUCAGUCUGGAAGCCCAUGUGGAUGUGGAAGUGCCCCAAGGUCAAAGCCUGGAAUUCUGGGCCACCACAUGGAGAAUGACUGCCCUGAAGCAUUCUCCCGGAGACACAGAUGCUGAGUCACUGAGGUCAGGAGGCGGUUUGUUAUUGCAGCAGAACUCAGCCAACCCUGACUUACUCACAGUCCUGGUUCUAGAAAGCUACAUCAUCAGGGGGAGGAAGGAAACUCUGCCUCACUUCCUCACACUGACCUUCAGAAGGAAGGAAAAUCUGCCUCACUUCCUCUCACUGACCCUUCAGGAGGAAGGAAACUCAGCCUCACUUCUCUCUCUCACUGACCUUCAGGAGGAAGGAAACUCUGCCUCACUUCCUCACACUGACCCUUCAGGAGGAAGGAAAGUCGGCCUCACUUCCCCUCACUGACCCUUCAGGAGGAAGGAAAAUCUGCCUCACUUCCCCUCACUGACCCUUCAGGAGGAAGGAAAGUCGGCCUCACUUCCCCUCACUGACCCUUCAGGAGGAAGGAAAGUCGGCCUCACUUCCCCUCACUGACCCUUCAGGAGGAAGGAAAGUCUGCCUCACUUCCCCUCACUGACCCUUCAGGAGGAAGGAAAGUUGUCCUCACUUCCUCUCACUGACCCUUCAGGAGGAAGAAAAGUCGGCCUCACUUCCUCUCACUGACCCUUCAGGAGGAAGGAAAGUCGGCCUCACUUCCCCUCACUGACCCUUCAGGAGGAAGGAAAGUCGGCCUCACUUCCCCUCACUGACCCUUCAGGAGGAAGGAAAGUCUGCCUCACUUCCCCUCACUGACCCUUCAGGAGGAAGGAAAGUUGUCCUCACUUCCUCUCACUGACCCUUCAGGAGGAAGAAAAGUCGGCCUCACUUCCUCUCACUGACCCUUCAGGAGGAAGGAAAGUCGGCCUCACUUCCCCUCACUGACCCUUCAGGAGGAAGGAAAGUCGGCCUCACUUCCCCUCACUGACCCUUCAGGAGGAAGGAAAGUCUGCCUCACUUCCCCUCACUGACCCUUCAGGAGGAAGGAAAGUUGUCCUCACUUCCUCUCACUGACCCUUCAGGAGGAAGAAAAGUCGGCCUCACUUCCUCUCACUGACCCUUCAGGAGGAAGGAAAGUCGGCCUCACUUCCUCUCACUGACCCUUCAGGAGGAAGGAAACUCUGCCUCACUUCCCCUCUCACUGACCUUCAGGAGGAAGGCAUGUCUGGCUUUCCCCAGCAGGGCAGUGCUCCUCUGACCUAUGCGUGCUUCAGGACAUGAGAUGUUAGUGAGCCGCUUGGUCCCAAAGAGCAAGAUCAGGGAAAGUGAGUGCUCCAGAGAUGCCAAUCAUGGUGCCCAUCAUCCCACAGCCACCCAGAGGCUUCUGCCCCAGAGCCCAAGACUCUGGAGUGUGAAGGUGGAAAUGCUGUGAGAAUGAGGGAGGUGGGGGGUGGCUGGAGGAAAAAGGGGUGGCAUGCAACCUGAUGCAGCAGGAGCGGAACAGUGCGGAAUCUGCACAAGAGCUGGGGAAGCAGCCAGGCCCCCUGGCCCGUCAGCCAGCCUGUUUCAGGGUGUGUCGAGCAAGUCCGUGCUUCUUCCAGUUACACAGUCAGACUGUGCAGAAAGGCAGUGCCAACAUCCCAGGAACCUACCCCUUUUUUCUGGCCUGUCAGCAAAUCCGCCCAUGAGACUUCUCUCCCGGCCCCUCCCACUCCUAGGAGGUCCCAUCGGACCCCUCUCUACGGACGCAGAGGUAAGUGCCACAAGGAGCCUCAUUUUGCACAUGUCCCCAGGGCCUGGAAUUCCAUGUGGCAUGGAGUGAGUGCUCUUUGUAUAUACUACUUGUGCCAUAAAAUAAUUCUCAGAGUUCCCCAGGGAGAGCCAUCUGCUCCUCUGGAGGUCACCACCUGUCUUCCAUCUGCACUUUCGUCUUCCCAGGUGCCUGAGUCAGCAUCUCUGUUCUGGCCCCUUCUGACCUCCCCUACCUGCUGAGGGAGGGAUGAGUCCAUGCUGCUCAUCACAGUAUCCCCACGGGCUCAGCAUAUGAAUGGGAGCACUGGUCCCUGCUGUCCUGGAGCUCCUGUGGCUCCACGCCUGGGGCUCAUGGGAAACUGCAGCUGCACAGGCUCUGGUCUCCUGUGGCCACUACCCUCAGGGCCUCACCUGCCGCAGCCCCAGAACCUCCCUUCUUUCGUGCCCCUCUGCAUCUGACCCAAGACCCACCUACUUGCAUGCCUCCACCCCUCCACUGCCCUUGUCUCAGCUCCUGACUCUGCAUGGUCCCCAAGGCUCAGCUCCUUGCUCUGGUCCGAGAGACA
Long non-coding RNA from Callithrix jacchus (white-tufted-ear marmoset), 12780 nucleotides. RefSeq lists it as uncharacterized. Lineage: Eukaryota; Metazoa; Chordata; Mammalia; Primates; Cebidae. The record is from RefSeq and is a predicted model, not a curated record.